UCUCCGUUGGUGAACCAGCGGAGGGAUCAUUACCGAGUUUACAACUCCCAAACCCCUAUGUGAACGUUACCAAACUGUUGCCUCGGCGGGAAAUUCAUGCCCCGGGCGCGUCGCAGCCCCGGACCAAGGCGCCCGCCGGAGGACCAACCAAAACUCUUUUGUAUGUCCCUCGCGGACUUUUAUAAUUCUGAACCAUCUCGGCACCCCUAGCGGGCGUUUCGAAAAUGAAUCAAAACUUUCAACGACGGAUCUCUUGGUUCUG
This 262-nucleotide unclassified non-coding RNA is filed under the name plant metagenome. Its description in RNAcentral is "partial contains small subunit ribosomal RNA, internal transcribed spacer 1, and 5.8S ribosomal RNA". The record is from RNAcentral.